CCCUUAGAUGUUCUGGGCCGCACGCGCGCUACACUGAUGCAUUCAACGAGUCUAAAACCUGCUCUGAUAGGGGUGGGUAAUCUUUUGAAUGUGCAUCGUGAUUGGGAUAGAUGAUUGCAAUUUUUCAUCUUCAACGAGGAAUGCCUAGUAAACGCAAGUCAUCAGCUUGCAUUGAUUACGUCCCUGCCCUCUGUACACACCGCCCGUCGCUCCUACCGAUUGAAUGAUCCGAUGAAUAUCAUGGAUUGAGGAUUAUAGCAGGUUCGCCUGUCUUGAUCUUCGAGAAGUGAAGUAAAUCUUAUCAUUUAGAGGAAGGAGAAGUCGUAACA
This 329-nucleotide ribosomal RNA is filed under the name uncultured eukaryote. Its description in RNAcentral is "partial 18S ribosomal RNA". It matches the Rfam family "Eukaryotic small subunit ribosomal RNA", at positions 1470 to 1796 of the family's 1831-position model. The record is from RNAcentral.